GGAUUAGAUACCCUGGUAGUCCACGCCGUAAACGAUGAGUGCUAGCUGUUGGUACCGUAGGGUAUUAGUAGCGCAGUUAACGCGAUAAGCACUCCGCCUGGGGAGUACGGCCGCAAGGUUAAAACUCAAAUGAAUUGACGGGGGCCCGCACAAGCGGUGGAGCAUGUGGUUUAAUUCGAUGCAACGCGAAGAACCUUACCUACCCUUGACAUCCUGCGAAUCUGAUAGAGAUAUCGGAGUGCCUUCGGGAAUGCAGAGACAGGUGCUGCAUGGCUGUCGUCAGCUCGUGCCG
Molecule: ribosomal RNA, 292 nt
Filed under: uncultured bacterium
Lineage: Bacteria
Description: partial 16S ribosomal RNA
Rfam family: Bacterial small subunit ribosomal RNA
Source: RNAcentral